Molecule: long non-coding RNA, 1284 nt
Organism: Lycium ferocissimum
Lineage: Eukaryota; Viridiplantae; Streptophyta; Magnoliopsida; Solanales; Solanaceae
Exons: 2
Source: RefSeq, a predicted model, not a curated record
AUGUAUGCAUUUGAUCAUCUAUUCUUAUGUCAUCAGCUGAAUUGGAGAUGGGCCUGUUAUGUGCAUGUGUUACGUUGGGCUGAGAAUAAACUUGUGCAGAAUUCGAACUUGGCCCAACGUUUUGUCUUGGCCCAACACUUACUCUUUUGACUUGUUGAGUGAUGCCGUUUUGACCACAGAAUUUUGACACCAAUUUAGUAACAAUUUCACGAUCAGAUUGGCAAUUUGAACUUAGGGUUUACCCCCUUCUUCCACCUCCAUCUCUUUUUUUUUUUUUUUUCUCUGUACUCAAAUUAAUGGAGGAACAGGGAACCUUGUUAUCUUCAACACCUCCCUCAAGUUGGAGGGGAGGGAAUGGAGACCCAACUUUCCGAUUAAGGACUGAUGAGAGACACCGAAAAAUAGUUUAGUGAAUAGAUCAACUAGCUGAGAUGAAGCCGGUACAAAUGACAGAGAAAUUAAUCCGGCAAGGUACUGUUGUCGAAUGAAGUGGAAAUCCAAUUCCACGUGCUUCGUACGUUCCUGGAAAACUGGAUUGCGAGCAAUUUGAAUAGAGGCUUGGCUGUCAGACAACACCGGAAUUUGAAGAGUCAGAGAACAACCAAAAUAGGUCAACAAUCGAUCAAGCCAGGUGAUACAACUUAGCACCAUAAACUUGUCCAAACCUUGCCUCAAGGUCAUUCCAAAGUUCCUCAGCAGAUUUUAAAUAAAGAACACUGUCUGAGAUUUCUAUGGACAGGGAAUUUAGUAACCAAGAGUUCACCAUAUCAUUGCACCUGUUCCAGAGUUUGAAUUCAGUGCUGUUGAGAGAAGGUGAUUUGUUGCUACCACCAAUAAAUCCAAGUUUAUUCUUGGCUGACAGAGCAAUCAAGACAGUUCUCUUCCAACCACUAUAUCCUUUCCCUUCAAACAUGGAGUUCACCAAGGACAUCCUUGGUGAGUCUAAAGGGUGGAGGAAGUAUGGGCUGCUACUGUCUAUGGUAAUAGAUACAUCAGCAACAUUGUUAAUGUGAGCUGUUUCAGAUUCAACCAUUUUGAAGAAACAAGAUGAGCAACAAUAAAAAAAAACAGUGAAAGGAGAAAAUCCAGAAACAAGACUAUUAGAAAUCAGAUCUGCAAAUCUGUAAAUUAGUAAUGCUCUGAUACCAUGUUGGAAUGCAAAAUUAAAGAACACAAGAAUGUAAAAAUUUUCGGAUGCUUUAUUGAUCAAUCUGUUCAUGUAUUUAUACAAAGAAUUGUAGAAAAGAAAAAAUAAUUACUCUAUACACUUGCUAGCUUUCUAUU